GACGAACGCUGGCGGCGUGCCUAAUACAUGCAAGUUGAGCGCUGAAGGUUGGUACUUGUACCAACUGGAUGAGCAGCGAACGGGUGAGUAACGCGUGGGGGAUCUGCCUUUGAGCGGGGGACAACAUUUGGAAACGAAUGCUAAUACCGCAUAAAAACUUUAAACACAAGUUUUAAGUUUGAAAGAUGCAAUUGCAUCACUCAAAGAUGAUCCCGCGUUGUAUUAGCUAGUUGGUGAGGUAAAGGCUCACCAAGGCGAUGAUACAUAGCCGACCUGAGAGGGGGGACCGCCACAUUUGGACUUGGGCACCGCCCCAACCCCCACGGGGGGCAGGCGUAGGGGAUUUUCGGGAAUGGACGAAAGGCUGAACGGGCAACGCCGCGGUAGUGAAGAAGGUUUUCGGAUCGUAAAACUCUGUUGGUAGGGAAGAACGGCGGUGAGAGUGGAAAGCUCAUCAAGUGACGGUAACUACCCAGAAAGGGACGGCUAACUACGUG
Molecule: ribosomal RNA, 497 nt
Filed under: uncultured bacterium
Lineage: Bacteria
Description: partial 16S ribosomal RNA
Rfam family: Bacterial small subunit ribosomal RNA
Source: RNAcentral